CAGUAGCCGCGGUAAUACGAAGGGUGCAAGCGUUAAUCGGAAUUACUGGGCGUAAAGCGUGCGUAGGCGGUGAGUUAAGUCUGCUGUGAAAUCCCCGGGCUCAACCUGGGAAUGGCAGUGGAUACUGGCUCGCUAGAGUGUGUCAGAGGAUGGUGGAAUUCCCGGUGUAGCGGUGAAAUGCGUAGAGAUCGGGAGGAACAUCAGUGGCGAAGGCGGCCAUCUGGGACAACACUGACGCUGGGGCACGAAAGCGUGGGGAGCAAACAGGAUUAGAGACCCCCGUAGUCCCUGUCUCUUAUAC
This 301-nucleotide ribosomal RNA is filed under the name uncultured bacterium. RNAcentral describes it as "partial 16S ribosomal RNA". It matches the Rfam family "Bacterial small subunit ribosomal RNA", at positions 509 to 807 of the family's 1533-position model. The record is from RNAcentral.